This 74-nucleotide transfer RNA is filed under the name Olea europaea subsp. europaea. It matches the Rfam family "tRNA". From Rfam's summary of the family: Transfer RNA (tRNA) molecules are approximately 80 nucleotides in length. Their secondary structure includes four short double-helical elements and three loops (D, anti-codon, and T loops). The record is from Rfam by way of RNAcentral. Lineage: Eukaryota; Viridiplantae; Streptophyta; Magnoliopsida; Lamiales; Oleaceae.
GUGAGCGUGCCGGAGUGGUUAUCGGGCAUGACUAGAAAUCAUGUGGGGGCGCAGGUUCGAAUCCUGCCCUCACG